CAAAACUCACAAGCGAGUAUCUCUCUGUCACUCAUCCUCUCUCUCAGUCGCAUACAAGCCUCUCUCUCCGUCACUUAGCCUCGCUCUCAGUUGCAUAGAAUCCACAAGGCUCUCUCUUCUUCGAAGCACAGCUUUCUUUCCACGGCCUUGAUUUAAACAUUACCAUUUUGCUCUCCUGCGUCUCGCCCGUUGCUCGCGUACUCGAAAUAACGCUCGAGCUCAAAUGGUGUUCAGGCUAGCCACAGUCGUCCCUGUCUCUUGCAUCUUACAUGCUAAUUCAAGAAUAAACUGCCAAUUGAUUAGACUAUAUUUGAAAGCAUUUACAUAUUGAGAUCUUCCACACUCACAUCUUUCUUGGGUAAUCUAGAUUUCUCUGCAAAACCUCACUCCCAGUUUCUGUACAAAGAUCCUCUGUUUCAGGAUGAUGAUGUAUAAUAUGCAUUGAUUGAUUCAAGUCUUUUUUUGGCUAAAGAGAAAGUUAAUUUGUUUUGGAAUGCCAAUUAGAUGAAGCUAUGAAUUCUUCUUCUUCCUUCUCUCUUGGGAAAGAUGUUUGAAGGAGAGUUACUGGAGAAUGGAUUCAAUCAACAGGACGGAGAACCUUCUGAUUCUUUGGUGGAUAAGGUUGACCCCUGGAAGCCUGCAUCACUGACCUGGCAGCAAAAGUUAAAUAGAGCCUAAACCAUUUUCAUGAAGAGGGGUCUUGGAGUGCAAGGAAACUUUAUUCAAGAUAUGUGAAAGAUAUAUUAAGUGCUGCAAAUGAAGAUGAACAAAUGAAUGUUAGUAUUUUUUUUUUUUGGGGGUGGGGGAAGACAAAAGUGUUAGAUAUGCUACCUAGUGACAAAUUAACCUGGAGUUGACUGUUCUAUAGAAUUGAAUAACUGUACCUGGUAGAUUCACCUUUCUCUUUUGGCAUUACUGGAUGAUUUUCAAAACUCUUUGUCAUCUGUGUUCUCUAUGACAUGAAUGAAUAGUAUAUGUGUGUCCUUUUAUGUCAUAAAUCUGUGGCAAAUCUAUGUUCUUCUCUUUGUUAUCUAUGUCCACAAGGCGGUUUUCUUCAUUCUCUGCAGGCUCCUGUAGGUAUUUGAUUAUGGCAUUAUCUCCGAGAAGAAGCUGGCAAAGGAAAGGUAAUGUUCAUUUAUCUUAAUUGCUCAUUGUAACUUGGUUUUGUUAACAAAUUACAAAGAUCAGUUUGAUCUCCAUGUUCCGUUUGGCAAUUUCAGGGUGGUGUUAUCAAUCCAUUUUUUAAGCGCUUUGUAACAUCUUGUCAAGGAAUUCCACUAGGUGGCAUUGGUGAAAAAGAAUACUGGGAAAGAAUCCGAGGGAUCAAGUCAAGGCCAAGAGGCGACUCGUAUAAGAUAUAGAGACUAGAGGAGCAGCUGAGUGAGCUGCUGAGGAUUAUGGAGCUACCUACCCUGAAGUUUCACCGUGUAUAUUUUUUACCCUGAUUGUAAAAAUUAUUUUGAUGUAUGUAAUGUAUGUAAAUGUAGAAAAUGGUCAUGAGCAGUUGUAUAAAGUUGUAU
This 1520-nucleotide unclassified non-coding RNA is filed under the name Hevea brasiliensis (rubber tree). The record is from RNAcentral. Lineage: Eukaryota; Viridiplantae; Streptophyta; Magnoliopsida; Malpighiales; Euphorbiaceae.